RNAcentral lists this ribosomal RNA (372 nucleotides) under uncultured organism. Its description in RNAcentral is "bacterial SSU rRNA". It matches the Rfam family "Bacterial small subunit ribosomal RNA", at positions 526 to 896 of the family's 1533-position model. The record is from RNAcentral.
CGGGGGGGGCAAGCGUUGUUCGGAAUUACUGGGCGUAAAGGGCUUGUAGGUGGCCAACUAAGUCAAACGUGAAAUCCCUCGGCUUAACCGGGGAACUGCGUCUGAUACUGGAUGGCUUGAGUUUGGGAGAGGGACGCGGAAUUCCAGGUGUAGCGGUGAAAUGCGUAGAUAUCUGGAGGAACACCGGUGGCGAAGGCGGCGUCCUGGACCAAUACUGACACUGAAAAGCGAAAGCCAGGGGAGCAAACGGGAUUAGAUACCCCGGUAGUCCUGGCCCUAAACGAUGAAUGCUUGGUGUGGCGGGUAUCGAUCCCUGCCGUGCCGAAGCUAACGCAUUAAGCAUUCCGCCUGGGGAGUACGGUCGCAAGGCUG